RNAcentral lists this long non-coding RNA (9691 nucleotides) under Sorghum bicolor (sorghum). RNAcentral's name for it is "long non-coding RNA (SBIC_LNC011429)". Lineage: Eukaryota; Viridiplantae; Streptophyta; Magnoliopsida; Poales; Poaceae. The record is from RNAcentral.
CUGCUGAAGCUCACACCUACUGCUUGUGACACUUCCAAGUCUGUCGGUAAAUGCCUUCCGUGCUUCUCUUUUCAAUCUGUUGAUGGAAAUGUUCACAACAGCAUGUCGGACAAUCCAGACAUGCUAGGAAAAGAGAAGCGGUUUCUAUGUGGUGCCUGGACGGCGUCCAAGGCACAACAGAGAAAAGACACUGAACAAGCACCAAAAUUGAAGUUUAAUAGGGUGGGGGUCUCUGCAAAAAUGGAGGAGAUCACAGAGCACCUCAAGUAUGUAUGUGCUAAGGUCUCCAACGUUCUUAACCUAGAGUUCAUGGGCACUAGUCGUAUCACUAGAAAAGACCUUGCUAACAAACGGCCUAUAACCACCCCAGAAAUUACAGAACCUCAAUUAUAUGGGAGAGAACAACAAAAGAAAAUAAUAUAUGACAUUAUUGACCGUGGUAACUCUUCUGCUGAUAAUGAUCUAGUUGUGCUUCCGAUUCUUGGUCCUGGAGGCAUUGGAAAGACAACUUUUACACAGCAUGUAUAUGAAGAAGUGAAGUGCAAUUUUGAGGUCACAAUUUGGGUAUGUGUCUCCCUCAAUUUUAGUGCUGGUAGGUUGGCGCAAGAAGCCGUGAAAAAAAUUCCUAAAGUUGGCAAUGAAAAGGAAAAUAGCAGUGUGGAAGAGCUAAUCGAACAAAGAUUGAAAGCUAAGCGGUUUUUGCUUGUACUAGAUGAUAUGUGGGCAUGCCAUGAGGAUGAAUGGAAAAAAUUGUUAGCGCCAUUUCGAAGAGGGGGAGGAAAAGGUAGUAUGGUAAUAGUGACCACUCGGAUUCCUAAGGUGGCAGAAAUGGUUACUAAGACAGUUCACUGUCCAAUAAUAGAAAUGGAGCGCUUAGAGGGUGAAGAUUUUAUGCACUUUUUUGAAGCUUGCAUAUUUGGUGGUCAGCAGCCAUGGGAAGGUCCCACAGCCUUAUUACGUGAGGUUGGGGAAAAUAUAGUGAGCAAAUUGAAAGGCUUUCCUCUUGCAGCAAAAACUGUAGGAAGAUUACUAAGAAACCAACUUACUUUCGAACACUAGACUAAAGUUCUAGAUAGCAAAGAAUGGGAAUUCCAAACCAAUGAUGAUAAUGACAUUAUGCCUGCAUUAAAACUUAGCUAUGAUUAUCUUCCUUUCCAUCUGCAACAAUGCUUUUACUAUUGUGCUUUGUUUCCUGAAGACUAUGAAUUUGACAGUAAAGAAUUAGUUCUCUUGUGGAUAGGACUAGAUAUUGUUCAUCCAUGUGAUGAUGUAAACCAAACAGUUGAAGAAACUGGACAGAGAUAUUUAGAUGACUUGGUUAAUCAUGGUUUUUUCAAAAAAUCUUUAGGAAAUGAUGGUUGUGAUUAUUAUGUUGUCCAUGACCUACUACAUAAUUUGGCUGUGAAUAUUUCGUCAUUUGAAUGUCUCAGCAUAUGUAGCUCCAACGUGAAGUCAAUACAUAUUCGCCAAGAUAUACGUCACUUGUCUAUCAUCAUAGAUGACAAGGAUGUUGAGGACAUCAAGACUUUCAAGUACUAUAAAAAUGACUUGAGUACACUUGAUAAAAGAUUAAAUGUUGAAAACCUACGUACCUUGAUGGUGUUUGGAGGACACCAAGAAAGCUUUGCCAAGAUGUUUUGUGAUUUAUUUGAGAAACCUAGAGCCCUUCGUGCUAUUUAUUUAUCUGGAGUAUCGUCAUAUACUAUGGAGGAUAUGUUGCAUGAGUUCCCAAAGCAUAUUCAUCUUUGCUACCUAAGGAUUAAAUUGGCUGAUGACACGGAAGACAUAGACUUUGAUCUUAGUGCCCUAACUAGACUUUAUCAUUUAGAGAUCCUAGAUAUGCAAAAAUGCAAAGGUCGCUAUGGUUUCACAAGACAUAUUAGCAACCUUGCAAAGUUGCGACACUUUCUGGUGCCACAAGAUGAACUUCAACUUCAUUCCAACAUAGUUGAGGUGGGGAAACUAAAACUAUUGCAAGAGUUAAGGAGCUUUGAAGUUGGAAGAGAAACUAAGGGUUUUGAACUAAGUCAGCUUGGGAAAUUGUCAGAACUUGGAGGCUCACUUUCCAUUUGUAGUCUUGAAAGGAUACGAGCGAUAGAGGAUGCACAUGAGGCCAGAUUGACACAAAUAAAACAUUUGCACAAGCUAACACUAGAAUGGGAUGCCAAUCGAUCUGAAAAAAAUACUACACAUGAAGAAAAUAUACUGGAGAUUCUUACACCAUGUAGCAAUCUUAAAGACCUUUGCAUUAGAGGCCAUGGAGGCACCAAAUGCCCAAAAUGGCUAGGUGAGGACCUCUCUGUCAAAAAUCUGGAAUCCCUUCAUCUAGAUGGCGUAGCUUGGAAUACAUUUCCACCCAUAGGAGAGUUGUGGCUAGUUAAUGGACCUCACCAAGAAAUUUCAAGUAAUAUCCACCAUGAAAAGUUUCACAAUUUGAGGAGGUUGGAGCUAGUUAAUCUACCAAGGUUGAAAAACUGGGUCGUCAGUGCACCUUGUCAUUUGUUUGCUCACUUGGAAGUGCUUAUCAUUAGGGAUUGCUUUGAACUAACCGAUAUCUCAUUUUCACAUUCUACUUGCUGUCAACGAGAGAGAGAGGAAGAGGCCAACAUGAAUUGGUUUCCUCGUGGUCUACAAGAGCUUGACAUUGAAAGUUGUCCAAAACUGUUGUCCGUUCCUCCUGUUCCUUGGACCAGUACUUUGUGCUCUACUAAGAUAAAAGGAGUUGCUUUGGGUUUUGAGAAUUUAGUUUGUAAAGCAAACAAAAAGUGGGGAUAUUGCUUGAACAUUAAAGCAACUGUUGCUUUAGAUGAUGGCACAUUCUGGAACGUGUUAGCCUUUGAUAAUCUAAUGGAACUAAAACGGUUGGAGAUGGACACAUGCCCUCCUCUCCCACUGCAUCACUCCAAGUGCUAUCGUCCCUAAAGACCCUCGAGCUAUAUGGUGGUUCAAGUAUUGUCCUCCCGUCGGUCGAAGGUGUGAGCCAUGCCGAAUAUGAAUUCCCAGUUGAAUGCGUAACCAUUGGCAGGUGGAAUGCUAGUGCAAAGGAAUUGACGCAGCUACUGACUUAUUUUCCUGAGCUAUCUGAACUGAACAUGCGGUCAUGUGAUCAGAUUACAGGGCUAGCUGUAGUGGAGAAGCGGACAGCAGAAACACCCGCACCAGAAUCUUCAGAUAAUAAUAAAGUGGACGACCAGCAGCAGGAUGGCACAAGAGGGGAGGAGGAAAUAGCCACAUCAUCAGCGGAAGGGCUGCUGCUCUUGCCUUCCCAACUACAGACACUGCGGAUCCUAUACUGCCGAAAGCUAAGCCUCUGCUCCAAUUCAAUCGACCACAACAGAGAAUCAGGACGACCUGGUGGAGGACAAGGGCUCCAAGGUCUAUGCUUCCUCCGAUCCUUGCAGAUAAUCUAUUGCCCCAGGUUUCUCUGCUCCUAUUCGUCAUCCUCCUCUUCUUCGUGGUUCCCCUUCCCAACCUCCCUGGAACGCCUCUGUCUUUUGGGCGCGGUGGGCACAGCAACCCCGUUGCCUCUCUCAAACCUCGCCUCUCUCACAGAUUUAACCAUAUGGGAAUGUGGGGAUUUAAGAGGUGAGGGACUGCGGCAUCUCCUCGCCCAAGGUCGUCUCACCAUAUUAUCCGUCCGUGGAACCCCCAAUUUCUGGGCUGGUCCCGAACCCCCGCUGCCCCAUGAACAAGAGUUCUCAUCCUCUUCCUCCAAACUGCAGAAGCUUGAGACAGAUGACGUGGCGGGCGUCCUUGCUGCGCCCAUCUGUACCUUGCUCUCUUCCUCGCUCACCGAAUUGACAUUUCACGACGACAAAGAGGUGGAGCGCUUCACAAAGGAGCAAGAGGACGCCCUUCAGCUCCUCACCUCUCUCGAGAUCACAUUUUGGGACUGCGACAAGCUCCAGUGCCUCCCUGCUGGGCUUCAUGGACUCCCCAACCUCAAGAAAUUAAACAUAUAUAGUUGUCCAACCAUCCGAUCGCUGCCCAAGGAUGGCCUCCCAAGUUCACUGCAAGUGUUAGUGAUAGACGACUGUCCAGCCAUCCAGUCUCUACCUAAGGACUGCCUCCCAACUUCACUGCAAAAAUUAGAGAUCCAUAGCUGCCCAGCCAUCCGGUCUCUGCCCAAGGAUGGCCUCCCAAUUUCACUGCAAAAAUUGGAGAUCGAUGACUGCCCAAACAUUCGAUCACUGCCCAAGGUGAAUGACCUUCCAAGUUCAUUGCGAGAAUUGAAUGUCCAACGUAGCAAAAGCGAGGAGCUAAGAAGGCAGUGCCGCAAGUUGAUUGGAAUCAUUCCAGUUGUCUACGCCUGACUAAGCCAAGGUAACAAAGAGGUGGAACUUCCUGCCCACCAAUUUCGCUUGCAUUCUUUAAUCCCAUAUAAAAGUAAGUCGUUCUCCUUUUGUUUAUUUGAACUGCAAUAAUGGUUUCCUUCCAAAUAACCCAUUUGUUUUCACCUACUGUGCAGGUGUUAGAAUGUCUAAUUUCCUUGAUUGGGCUAACCCUAACCAGGGUGGCCAUAUAGUUAGGGAUAGGCUCAUAGGCCUAGCCUCAUGGGCCUAGCCUCAUGGGCCAAAUACUCAUAUACUCUAACAUCCCCCCGCAGUCUGAACUACCGUCGCAGCGGAGUUUGCAGACUGGACACGAAAGAAAAGAGGUACAACACACGAGCCCCCCCCCCCCCCACAGACACAACUAGCCACUGGUAAUGUUGAGGCUGGUGCGGAACUCGGUGAAGGUCGAGAACGGGAGACCCUUGGUGAAGAUGUCGGCGAACCGGGAGGUGGUCGGGACGUGGAGGACCCGAACAUCGCCGACAGCGACCCGGUCCCGGACGAAGUGUAGAUCGAUCUCCACAUGCUUGGUCCUCUGGUGUUGGACCGGGUUGGUGGAGAGGUAGCUGCAUCUGCUGCGCGAUUUGCGCCCAGGAAGAGGUUGGGAGAGGAGGGAAGUGGUUGAAGUAGAAAGGAGGAGGAGGAGGAUCAGGCCGGCCGGCCAAAGGUGGCGGCGGCUGGGGUGGGCAGGGGAGCAGGGGAGGAAGAAACUCUAAGCUGAUACCAUGUUAGAUAAUUUUCUUGAUUGGGCUAACCCUAACCAGGGUGGCCAUAUAGUUAGGGAUACAUGGGCCUCAUGGGCCAAAUACUCAUAUACUCUAACAGCAGGGCUCUUUCUCAAAUUGUACAUUCUUCUAACCUGAGGAUUCUCACUUUAUCUACACAUGAUUCUGAGUUGUCAAGCAUUAUCAUCUCAGGAAGUACCUAACACCCUGUACAGAAAACUGGUUAGUAUCCUAUAUGCAAAAUUGGUUAGUCCCAUACAAUAUUUACAAGUUCAAUCCAUAUUUUGUUAAUCUACUGCCUGUUGCUUUUGCUAUUUGGUUGCCUUUUGUUUAUAAUCAUCAUGUAGUUCGAACUUCGGAACAUUUGUAUUAGAGUUGAGAAAACACAACAUACUGAAGUGUUAGUUUAGCUGUUUUGGAAUGCCUCACAGCUUGCAAAACAUGCUACACCUAAUUUCAAGUUGUCUUGGGGUCACUGCUACAGAAAUAAGUACCUGUUAGUUUAUUUGUUCACUCUCGAUCUAUUUAUUUGUUUUGACAGUUCACUAGAAUAGUUUCUUAGAUUGUCGAACCUUGUUUUACUACUUGCCUUUUGCAUCCUUAUGUUAACUACAACAGUAAUUACUUCUGAAAUCUGAUGUCCUAAUUUCGUUGCGCAAUACUGGGCUGAUUUGUUGUACCAUCAAAAUAAUUUACCAUUUGCUUUGUUGUAUUCCAAGUUAGUGUAACUGUUGGGGUUUGAUGAACUUAAUGUCUGUAUGUAUUCUCACUUUCUCACUCCUUCCUUAAUUGAGAGGCAGAGCUCCUGCCAUUCCUUCAAAAACAAAAUGUAUUCUCACUUUCUCAGUAUAUGCAGGAUUCUUAUUCUGAUUACAUAGUGGUGAAUGGGGCUAACCUCGAAUACUACCAUAAUGCCACUACCUUUUGUAGAUCAUCUCCAUCGGAUCCUCCUAACUGAUAUAAUAUAACUCUGAGAUCAGAUUAUAGUAGUGCAAGGUAAUUGCUCUUUGUUGUUUCCUAAUCACGUGAGCAUUAAGCCAUUUUUACAAAUACUAUGUGCCUAUGUUCUACAAGUGCUCCUUGACACGAACCCUGCUUAUUUUAACCUGCAGUGCACAAGGGUUCAUCAAUUCUUUGAGCUGUACAUCGUAUAAUCUUGUUGGAUCUUUCUGAAAACACUGUUGCACUCUAGGGAAUUGAAUGUGUGUUCUGUUUGUUAGAAAAUGCUUUUGCCAAAGGUAAUUAUACUAUGCAUGCUAGUUUUAAUGUUACCCGUGGGCAAAAAAUAGUGAGGUUGGAAUUAUUUGUGCUAUUUUGGCUGUUCAGAAGAUUGUUGUGUGCCCACGUUUGAGACUAUAUAAAUGAUGCAACAUAACAAGAUAUUUCUUCUCAAAGGAUGAGGAUGAUUUUGAGGGCAAUAGCUGAAGAUGUUGAACUGAGCUUUUUUCUAAAGGAAAAACUGAAUGUUCUUCCAUCCGUUUUAAAGAAAAUCAUCGUCCAUAUUUCUACAAAUCACAGCAACAAUAACAAGGAUACGUAUGCACUAUGUCCUGGUAGCAGAUUGCUAACUAGGAUGCAUUGUAUAGUCCUGAUCAGCCAACUAAAGAUCAGAAAGUAACAUCUAUGCUGCUCAACUGCACGUGCAAAUAUGGGUAUCUUGUGAUAUAACUAUAAGUGCUUGGCUGUUUCAUGAAGUUAUUGUUUACAUCAGUUUUGUAGAGCAUGAGCAUAUCCUUUGAAGGUUGAACCCCAAAUGCGGCCAUGGAACAUAUAUGUGUGCAAAAGUUAUGGUAAUGAAGGCAAUAUUCUGUUACUGCAACAGCCAAAAUGAUUAUUGUUAAGUGCAUGCAACUUUAUCUGCUAAGUCCUCAAGUAUGAAGUCUUCAACUACAUGUUGCAUAUUAUUUCCUAAGCCUGCUGUCAACAGACCUAAUGUUCUGGACUCUUGCCUACAGGCUACGGCCUUUUACAUGGAUGAUCUGGUAAACUAAAAAUACCUCAAAGUUCAGCUUCUUGAGCUCGUGGGGCCUUCAUAUGAAAAAUAGAAUUUGGUAAGUCCCUCGAGUAUACUAAAUUAUGCUUUAGUUCCUUCUUUUUCCUUUUUGUUAUGGACUAUUCUGAAAUGUUUACUUCGGUGAAGUGGUGAACACUUACAUUACAUCUUUAUUGAUAUUUUUGCCACAAGAUGUAAUGAGAAAGGUAGUGGCAGAAAUGUGCAGUGUUUGGUAUUCUGAAAACAUGUUAAAUCAGUUCAAGAUGUUGAGACACAAUCGAAUUAUAAAUGUUUUCAUGUGAGGCCAUCCCAAAUGAUGCAGAUAUCAUUCAAUUCAUGCUGUUGCUUAGUAAAUUACCGAGCCGCUAUGAAAUGUCCAUGAUAAUAGCAUGCAUCACUUCAGUAUUUUCUAAUUGUGUGUAACUUGUUCCCUUUAGUAAAUUUGCUAUCCUGGUGAAAAAUGAAAUGCUACCUUUGGACACUCUUUUUUAUUUAUUAGAUUAUAAAGGAGAUGUACAUAUCUGACAUGGUUUUUGCAGAUAAUAAACUGUUAUUCUGUUAAUUGGCAAGCUCUAGUGCACAAGUAAUUUUAAUUCUCAUUAUUAUGCUAUAAGAACUUGUUUCCUUAUACUUUGUUUCAUUUAUUAUAGUGUAAUGGAAAUUUUCUUCACAGAUUUCUUCUUUUCUUUCUUCAUGCAGCAAACAUUGAUGGAAAAGAUAAAUAAGAAGAUCUACAAGUGCCAUUCUUUUUUGAAAAAAUACAAGCGCCAUUCUCAAUCAGUUUAGUUAGCAUUACAGAUAGUUAGAUAUCAUAGUUAUGUUUUUCUUUUUACCAUGAAUUAUGUUUUUACUUGUCAUGCUUUCCAUGGCUCAGGAGCACAACUUCUUUUUCUGCUGGACCACAAGCUAUCCUGCUCAAGUGUGAAAUGCAAGCUUGCCUAACUAUUGCUGACAACAGUGUAAGAGCUUCACUUUUGUCGAUCUUCGGAAUUCAUUUACAAAAGGCAGCUACUGUGAAAAGUCUCCUAAUGUUCCUCUGGUUUCUAGAUCAAACAUUGCAUGGCAGCAGUAUUGGCAUGAAGGUUUGGUUGAAUCAACGGGGGUUCUGGCACUUAAGAAGUCAACAAGAAACUACUACUCUAUUCAUCGGAGCAAUUUCAGAUAUUCCUGCUUGGGUCCUACUCGUUCUAUGAUCUACCUGUUGAUUGGCAGGUCCGGCCAGUGCCGUCUUAAGCAGCUGUGAACCAAGUGCUCCUUCACAAUGCACUCAUCUAGUUCAACAGAAUAGCUGCAUGAAAUCGAUGGUGCUCACACCCGCAAGCACUCAUUCCGUAUGAGGUGAGAGAUACACUUUUCUCAGGCCCUUUUGUGAUGUCAGUAGACAUUAUAAAUGCCGUGUUUUUUUCUGGGGAGAAAUAUUGAUCAAGCUUUUUUUCCUUGUUGAUCUCUUUUGCAGGAAUUAUGUCCCAAAUCUUGCCAAGAUUACAGUUAUCUUCAGAAUCAAUCGCUACUGUACAUCAUUUGGUUUGAUGUUGAGCAAGGUUUGCAGCAUUCGUCAGGUUCUUGCCAACGCAAGGAUGGCAGGACGAAGCUAAGUUGAAGAUUCUGGCAAAAUCGACCAGGGCAUUAUUGUACUUGUGGACAUCCAACAUCCUCAAAAACUCAGAGCAUGCUUUAGAGAUUAGGGAAGGGGGUCUAACGAUCUACUGCUGUUUGAGACCUCUAAUGUUAUUAGCUGGAUUGUUUUCAGUAAUACUUAUGGUUGUGCACUGAUAUGUUGCCGAGAGUAUUUUGGCAAUCGCUCUGAAAAUGGAAAGACCACCGUUUAUGUACUUUGUGAUGAUUUUGGCAAAAAGAAAACAAAAAAAAUGUUUAAACGAUAUUGUUUCUUACAGUACAUUUUAAAAAUUAACCAUCAGGUGAAACAUAUCAUCCAAUCAAAUUGCUGGGUAAAUUUUGACAUUUUUUUCCCCACCUCUUUGCUAAUAAGGCUGGAUACGGUGUUUAAAAUUUCAAACUAUAAUAUUUUCAAAAUAUUUUGUCAACUGUUUUAGAAACUUUACUACGUGCAUACAAAUGAAAAAAAAAAAGGUCUCUCCACGAUUUAUAACAUAACAAAAAGAAAAAUAGUGAAGGAAAAAAGAAGGAAUACCUAGAGAAAGGAGGCCCUCUUCUUCUCAAACCCAAUCCGUCAAGUCGUCUUGUGGGCCCAGGCUUCGCAGGACCUCGCCGCCGGCGAUGGCAGCUUCGAUUCCCUUCUCCGCUCGCUCUCUGCGGCCUCACGGGACUCUGCUGCAGCCGCCGAACCCAACCUCCUCAGAUCCGUAACAGCAUCUCCCUUCCAUCCCCUCUACAAAUCUCCUGCUGUACACGAGCAUUCCUAGGAUUGCUCUAGAAGGCGAGGGCGUGCGAGAUGGGAAAAAGAAAAGAAAAAGCUUUGUUAAAUUAAAAAGAAAAAAAAAGUCUAGUACAUGGGCCGGGCGCAGCUAAUAAGGCCGUCCACAGAGAAAGGAGGCCUUCUUCUCUAACCCCAGCGAGAAGACGCGACACGACGGCGACGGCCAUGGCUUCGCCGGAGCUCGCCGCCGGCGACGGCAGCUACGACUUCCACCUCCGCUCGCUCUCCGCGGCCUCACGGG